GGACGAACGCUGGCGGCGUGCUUAACACAUGCAAGUCGAACGAUGAAGCUGGAGCUUGCUCCGGCGGAUUAGUGGCGAACGGGUGAGUAACACGUGAGCAAUCUGCCCUUGACUCUGGGAUAACUGCGGGAAACUGUAGCUAAUACCGGAUACGACACCUUCGGGCAUCCGAUGGGUGUGGAAAGAAUUUCGGUCAAGGAUGAGCUCGCGGCCUAUCAGCUAGUUGGUGAGGUAAUGGCUCACCAAGGCGACGACGGGUAGCCGGCCUGAGAGGGUGACCGGCCACACUGGGACUGAGACACGGCCCAGACUCCUACGGGAGGCAGCAGUGGGGAAUAUUGCACAAUGGGCGCAAGCCUGAUGCAGCAACGCCGCGUGAGGGACGAAGGCCUUCGGGUUGUAAACCUCUUUUAGCAGGGAAGAAGCGAAAGUGACGGUACCUGCAGAAAAAGCACCGGCUAACUACGUGCCAGCAGCCGCGGUAAUACGUAGGGUGCAAGCGUUGUCCGGAAUUAUUGGGCGUAAAGAGCUCGUAGGCGGUUUGUCGCGUCUGCUGUGAAAAUCCGGGGCUCAACCUCGGACUUGCAGUGGGUACGGGCAGGCUAGAGUGCGGUAGGGGAGACGGGAAUUCCUGGUGUAGCGGUGGAAUGCGCAGAUAUCAGGAGGAACACCGAUGGCGAAGGCACGUCUCUGGGCCGUAACUGACGCUGAGGAGCGAAAAGCGUGGGGAGCGAACAGGAUUAGAUACCCUGGUAGUCCACGCCGUAAACGGUGGGUGCUAGCUGUGGGCCACAUUCCACGUGGUCCGUGACGAAGUUAACACAUUAAGCACCCCGCCUGGGGAGUACGGCCGCAAGGCUAAAACUCAAAGGAAUUGACGGGGGCCCGCACAAGCGGCGGAGCAUGCGGAUUAAUUCGAUGCAACGCGAAGAACCUUACCAAGGCUUGACAUAUAGAGGAAAAGUGCAGAAAUGUACUCCCCGCAAGGUCUCUAUACAGGUGGUGCAUGGUUGUCGUCAGCUCGUGUCGUGAGAUGUUGGGUUAAGUCCCGCAACGAGCGCAACCCUCGUCCUAUGUUGCCAGCACGUAAUGGUGGGAACUCAUGGGAUACUGCCGGGGUCAACUCGGAGGAAGGUGGGGAUGACGUCAAAUCAUCAUGCCCCUUAUGUCUUGGGCUUCACGCAUGCUACAAUGGCCGGUACAGAGGGCUGCAAUACCGUAAGGUGGAGCGAAUCCCAAAAAGCCGGUCUCAGUUCGGAUUGAGGUCUGCAACUCGACCUCAUGAAGUCGGAGUCGCUAGUAAUCGUAGAUCAGCAACGCUACGGUGAAUACGUUCCCGGGCCUUGUACACACCGCCCGUCAAGUCACGAAAGUCGGUAACACCCGAAGCCGGUGGCCUAACCGUAAGGAGGGAGCCGUCGAAGGUGGGAUUGGUGAUUGGGAC
RNAcentral lists this ribosomal RNA (1444 nucleotides) under uncultured bacterium. Its description in RNAcentral is "bacterial SSU rRNA". It matches the Rfam family "Bacterial small subunit ribosomal RNA". The record is from RNAcentral.